This 123-nucleotide small RNA is filed under the name Caenorhabditis brenneri. Its description in RNAcentral is "sRNA CBN34340". The record is from RNAcentral. Lineage: Eukaryota; Metazoa; Nematoda; Chromadorea; Rhabditida; Rhabditidae.
UUUUAAAGCGAGUUAUGCGCCUUUAAAGUUGGUGGUGAGACGCAGAGAAGCUAGACUGUUGUUUUCUCUGCCGCCUCUCACUCUCUCACCUCCAACUUUGAAGGCGCAUAACUCACUUGUCUU